AGCGAACGCUGGCGGCAGGCCUAACACAUGCAAGUCGAACGGAUCCUUCGGGAUUAGUGGCGGACGGGUGAGUAACACGUGGGAACGUGCACUUUGGUUCGGAACAACUCAGGGAAACUUGAGCUAAUACCGGAUGUGCCCUUCGGGGGAAAGAUUUAUCGCCAUUGGAGCGGCCCGCGUCUGAUUAGCUAGUUGGUGAGGUAACGGCCCACCAAGGCGACGAUCAGUAGCUGGUCUGAGAGGAUGAUCAGCCACACUGGGACUGAGACACGGCCCAGACUCCUACGGGAGGCAGCAGUGGGGAAUCUUGCGCAAUGGGCGAAAGCCUGACGCAGCCAUGCCGCGUGAAUGAUGAAGGUCUUAGGAUUGUAAAAUUCUUUCAGCGGGGACGAUAAUGACGGUACCCGCAGAAGAAGCUCCGGCUAACUUCGUG
Molecule: ribosomal RNA, 433 nt
Filed under: uncultured bacterium
Lineage: Bacteria
Description: partial 16S ribosomal RNA
Rfam family: Bacterial small subunit ribosomal RNA
Source: RNAcentral